Molecule: ribosomal RNA, 326 nt
Filed under: uncultured eukaryote
Lineage: Eukaryota
Description: partial 18S ribosomal RNA
Rfam family: Eukaryotic small subunit ribosomal RNA
Source: RNAcentral
CCCUUAGAUGUUCUGGGCCGCACGCGCGCUACACUGAAUGGAUCAACGUGUUUUCCCUUCCCGAGAGGGACGGGUAACCCGCUGAACCCCAUUCGUGGUAGGGAUCGGAGCUUGCAAUUGUUCUCCGUGAACCAGGAAUUCCCAGUAAGCGCAAGUCAUAAGCUUGCGUUGAUUACGUCCCUGCCCUUUGUACACACCGCCCGUCGCACCUACCGAUUGAAUGGUCCGGUGAAAUCUUCGGAUCUGAGAGAUGUCUGAUUAAUUUCGGACGCCUUUUGGAAAAGUUGCUUAAACCUUACCAUUUAGAGGAAGGUGAAGUCGUAACA